UGCCUAACACAUGCAAGUGGAGCGACGAACCAGGGCUUGCCCUGGAGCAAAGCCGCGAACGGGUGAGUAACACGUGGGUAACCUACCCCAAUGACUGGGACAACCCGGAGAGAUUCGGGCUAAUACCGGAUGUGCUCGUCAUCCAUGAGGGUGAUGAGGAAAGGAAGCUUCGGCCUCCGCAUCGGGAGGGGCCCGCGGCCCAUUAGCUUGUUGGUGAGGUAACGGCUCACCAAGGCUGCGAUGGGUAGCUGGUCUGAGAGGACGAUCAGCCACACUGGGACUGUGACACGGCCCAGACUCCUACGGGAGGCAGCAGUGGGGAAUCUUGCGCAAUGCGCGAAAGCGUGACGCAGCAACGCCGCGUGGGGGAAGAAGGCCCUCGGGUUGUAAACCCCUUUCAGCAGGGACGAAGGUGUGGCGGUGAAUAGCCGACCACAUUGACGGUACCUGCAGAAGAAGCCCCGGCUAACUACGUGCCAGCAGCCGCGGUAAUACGUAGGGGGCAAGCGUUGUCCGGAAUUAUUCGGGCGUAAAGAGCACGUAGGCGGCCCGGUUAGUCCGCUGUAAAAGUCAACAGGCUCAACCUUUGAAAGCCGGUGG
This 600-nucleotide ribosomal RNA is filed under the name uncultured bacterium. RNAcentral describes it as "bacterial SSU rRNA". It matches the Rfam family "Bacterial small subunit ribosomal RNA", at positions 45 to 629 of the family's 1533-position model. RNAcentral also lists the same sequence under 1 other name. The record is from RNAcentral.